CCCUUUUCCCGUGCAUAUGCAUCAGACUCGGAUGACGAUGGUCCCGAUGAACAAGUUGAUGCGGAGGGGUUCACGGUGAAGGAGGCCGAAGCUUUCGAGAAGGUAUUUGGUUGGGAUCAUUGGACUACAUUGUUCAAGGAUGUUAGUCUCGCGGAUGAAGCCGUGGUAGAUGGUGGCCAAUGUGAACCUCUUGGGGUUAGGCCAAGCUCUCAC
This 213-nucleotide ribosomal RNA is filed under the name Triticum aestivum (bread wheat). RNAcentral describes it as "partial small subunit ribosomal RNA". Lineage: Eukaryota; Viridiplantae; Streptophyta; Magnoliopsida; Poales; Poaceae. The record is from RNAcentral.